Molecule: transfer RNA, 75 nt
Filed under: Symploca sp. SIO1A3
Lineage: Bacteria; Bacillati; Cyanobacteriota; Cyanophyceae; Coleofasciculales; Coleofasciculaceae
Also listed under: 1 other name
Description: tRNA-Ile
Rfam family: tRNA
About the family: Transfer RNA (tRNA) molecules are approximately 80 nucleotides in length. Their secondary structure includes four short double-helical elements and three loops (D, anti-codon, and T loops). Further hydrogen bonds mediate the characteristic L-shaped molecular structure. tRNAs have two regions of fundamental functional importance: the anti-codon, which is responsible for specific mRNA codon recognition, and the 3' end, to which the tRNAs corresponding amino acid is attached (by aminoacyl-tRNA synthetases). tRNAs cope with the degeneracy of the genetic code in two manners: having more than one tRNA (with a specific anti-codon) for a particular amino acid; and 'wobble' base-pairing, i.e. permitting non-standard base-pairing at the 3rd anti-codon position.
Source: RNAcentral
AGCAGCGUAGCUUAAGGGUAAAGCCCCAGCCUCAUAAGCUGGUCUAUGCGGGUUCAAGUCCCGCCGCUGCCACCA